GCCUAUAGCGAUGCCACCCUGAACAUGUCCAAUCUCAUCUGAUCUCUGAAGCUAAGCAGGGUCAGGCCUGGUUAGUACAUGGAUGGAAGACCACCCAAAAGACCAGGUGCUACAGGCA
Molecule: ribosomal RNA, 118 nt
Filed under: Pteropus vampyrus (large flying fox)
Lineage: Eukaryota; Metazoa; Chordata; Mammalia; Chiroptera; Pteropodidae
Source: RNAcentral